This 497-nucleotide ribosomal RNA is filed under the name uncultured bacterium. RNAcentral describes it as "partial 16S ribosomal RNA". It matches the Rfam family "Bacterial small subunit ribosomal RNA", at positions 28 to 507 of the family's 1533-position model. The record is from RNAcentral.
GAUGAACGCUGGCGGCGUGCCUAAUACAUGCAAGUCGAGCGAACAGACGAGGAGCUUGCUCCUCUGACGUUAGCGGCGGACGGGUGAGUAACACGUGGAUAACCUACCUAUAAGACUGGGAUAACUUCGGGAAGCCGGAGCUAAUACCGGAUAAUAUAUUGAACCGCAUGGUUCAAUAGUGAAAGACGGUUUUGCUGUCACUUAUAGAUGGAUCCGCGCCGCAUUAGCUAGUUGGUAAGGUAACGGCUUACCAAGGCGACGAUGCGUAGCCGACCUGAGAGGGUGAUCGGCCACACUGGAACUGAGACACGGUCCAGACUCCUACGGGAGGCAGCAGUAGGGAAUCUUCCGCAAUGGGCGAAAGCCUGACGGAGCAACGCCGCGUGAGUGAUGAAGGUCUUCGGAUCGUAAAACUCUGUUAUUAGGGAAGAACAAAUGUGUAAGUAACUAUGCACGUCUUGACGGUACCUAAUCAGAAAGCCACGGCUAACUACGUG